This 1362-nucleotide long non-coding RNA is filed under the name Homo sapiens (human). Its description in RNAcentral is "HSALNT0136404". The record is from RNAcentral. Lineage: Eukaryota; Metazoa; Chordata; Mammalia; Primates; Hominidae.
CAACUCUUCUCUGUGCCACCCACCCUUCCCCAAGUCUCUUUACAUUUCUAAGCCCUUAUCAAGGGCCAUGGUGAAGCCAGCCGACUUUCACUUAUCAGACCUUGCUGCGAUAAGCAAACCCCAAUUACAAACCACUCAGACCGCAUAGGGGAAGGUUGUGGGAAGCAUAAACAAACUUUACCUACACCCUCCUGUAAUAAACGUCACAAGGUGAUAUGUGGCAAAAUUAACCAGCAAACAACCCCAGGAUGCGGCCAUACCAAAGAACUCCCUCAAGCUACUUUCCCCAAUAUAAACCCCUCAUUCUGUAAGCUUGGUGCUGCUUCCCUUGACUGUUAAGGGGUCAGCCGGCAGGUUAAUAAAAACUUGCUCGCCUGACUUUGGGUCUAUUUUUCCUUUCUCUUGGCUGACCUUACAUUCUGGUGCCGAAACCGGGAAGGGGAUAGACUCUGGCCGGCUCUCGCUCUCUGUCUCUCUCUCUCUCACUCUCUCUUUCUCUCUCUCUCUCCCCCUCCCUCCCCUAUCACCUAUCUCCUGGCCAGUCUCUCCCCUUCCCUGAACCUGCCGAAGUCCCAGAGAAUCUCCUAGACUCUCCCACUGCUGACGACUUCAUCCACCAUCAAAGCCUCCGCCAGGCUCCUCGGCCUAGCCACUGAAGACUGACAAGGCCCAGGGCCCCUGGCCCCCACUGCCAUCACUGCAUGGAGCCCAGUGUAACUCUACUGGUAGCAGUUUUUACAGGACCCUAUCAGCGCUUUCACCCACGGGACAAUACAAAAUAUGAUGCUGCUCCAGGAAUACCAGAGGCUCCAAGAACAGCAGUCCCUACCGUCCAGCCUUCCCCGACAACUGUCGCCCUCUCCCAGUAAGAAGCAGCCAGAUGAUAACAGCACCCCUCUUCCAUUACCUAUUAAAAGUCUGGCAUGAGAGGGACAACUGCCCCGAGAAAGCUUCUUUGUGCUGCCCACCCCUCCCCCAAUGCUCUGCAAUUCUUCUCCAUGCCGCCCACCCUUCCCCAAGCCUCUUUACGUUUCUAAGCCCUUAUGUAGUCGCUACGGUGAAGCCAACAGACUUCACUUAUCAGACCUUGCUGCGAUAAGCAAACCCCAAUAACAAACCAUCCAGACCGCACAGGGGGAGGUUGUGGGAAGCACAAACAAACUUUACUACACCCUCCUGUAAUAAAUGUCACAAGGUGAUAUGUGGCAAAAUUAACCAGCAAACAACCCUGGGAUGCAACCAUACCAAAAAACUCCCUCAAACUUCCCUCCCCAAUAUAAACCCCUCAUUCUGUAAGCUUGGUGCUGCUUCCCUUGACUAUUAAGGGGGCAGCCGACAGGUUAAUAAAAACUUGCUCACCUG